AUGAUAUCAUCAUGGGACUAUCUCUCGCCACCUCUUCUUCCCAUGCUUCAGUUCGUUCCAGUUUCAGGCCUAUUCACAUGCCACUUGGCUAGCAAUCAUUCAGAUCGUUGGUCCCUUUCUGCUAACUGUGUUUUUCUUAGUGGUUCUCUCAUUGCCUUGAAGACAGAAGAAACAUACUGCAGUUUCUCGUUCGAUUUCAAAUCCCGAGUUGUGAGCUAUGGCUCUUUUAACAGCAGAGAUGACUGUUAUUAUGUCUGCUUGUGGAUUUUGGUGUUUCUGUCACUACAACUACUCUCUUGUCAGACAGUGGAUGUGCUAUCAGUAUUGCGUGUGACCAUAUGA
RNAcentral lists this ribosomal RNA (342 nucleotides) under Triticum aestivum (bread wheat). RNAcentral describes it as "partial small subunit ribosomal RNA". Lineage: Eukaryota; Viridiplantae; Streptophyta; Magnoliopsida; Poales; Poaceae. The record is from RNAcentral.